AGUGAAAGUAAAAAUGGGAUUGAAAGCGGAAGUGGGUGUGAAUGUGCGGAAAGUGAAAGUGAGAAAGUGAAAGUAAAAGUGGGAGCGGAAGCGGACAUGAAAGCGAGGGAAGUGGAAAUAGAAGGGAAUGAGGAAGUGAAGGCGAAUGAGAAAGUGAAAGUGAAAGUNUGGGCCAUACUGGGAGCAACUGGGAGCAACUGGGAGGGACUGGGAGGCACUGGGAGCCAUACUGGGCCAUACUGGGAUGGACUGGGCCAUACUGGGAUGGACUGGGAGCAACUGGGAGCCAUACUGGGAUGGACUGGGUCAUACUGGGAUGGACUGGGAGCCAUUCUGGGCCAUACUGGGAUGGACUGGGAGCCAUACUGGGAGCAACUGGGAGGCACUGGGUUGGACUGGGAGCCAUACUGGGAUGGACUGGGAGCAACUGGGAGGCACUGGGAGCCAUACUGGGCCAUACUGGGAUGGACUGGGAUGGACUGGGAGCCAUACUGGGCCAUACUGGGAUGGACUGGGCCAUACUGGGAGCAACUGGGAGGCACUGGGAGCGGUGGCGCCAUAUUGAAAUCCGUGGCUCCCUAUUUGGCAGCCGUGGCUCACUGUUUGGCGGCGUUGGCUCCCUAUUUAUUUGCUGUAGGCUCCAUUUUUAGCAGCGGUAGGCUCCAUAUUUAG
Molecule: long non-coding RNA, 672 nt
Filed under: Numida meleagris (helmeted guineafowl)
Lineage: Eukaryota; Metazoa; Chordata; Aves; Galliformes; Numididae
Description: lncRNA (ENSNMEG00000004150.1)
Source: RNAcentral